UGGGGAAAACGUAGUGAAAGCGAGGCUUAAUCGCCGAAAAUAAGUCGCAUGGAUUAGACCCGAAGC
Molecule: ribosomal RNA, 66 nt
Filed under: Candidatus Moraniibacteriota bacterium
Lineage: Bacteria; Candidatus Moraniibacteriota
Description: partial 23S ribosomal RNA
Source: RNAcentral